Argiope bruennichi is the source of this 3049-nucleotide long non-coding RNA. RefSeq lists it as uncharacterized. NCBI's taxonomy places the organism in Eukaryota, Metazoa, Arthropoda, Arachnida, Araneae, Araneidae. The record is from RefSeq and is a predicted model, not a curated record. The transcript has 3 exons.
GUUAUUUUCAAAUCGAAAUAUGUGAUUAGUUUGCUGGGAUAAUUUUUAUACAGCUGGUCGCUUUUCGUAGAAAUUUGUGUAUGAAGUUAUGAGUCUUGCUGGCCUAUAUCUUUCCCAUUGAUUAGAACUUCAAACAAACAGUUGUACACAAGCUGGAGCUAAUUUCGAGUUGCAACGGAUUCCUGACAAUUGCUGCUUUACAUCAAUCCUCAUUGAUGAUUACCUAUGCAACUGAAAUUAAGAAAACGCCUUUCAUGCAAUGAACUCGUCCCGAGGAAUUUAUUUCAACUUACUAAGGACUGUUGAUGAACUUCGUUAGGAGAGUUUGCAACGAAGGAUCUAGAUGCUGAUCACUGUCUCCUAAUUUUGUCAUUGUGCGCAUCGCCCAAUCUUCAACGCUUCAAAAUCGAAGACAGUCAACAAGCUGGAUGGUAAAAACAUCAGUUAUAUUUAUGAUUGGACGAUUCUGGAAAUCGUAAUACAUAAAAUAGUCAAGUUACUAUGACUUAAUUGCAACAAAUGGAACUUAAUCGUAUGAAUUCAUAUGGAUCUUCAGUAAUCAUUUUCAUGUAUAUAAAUGUUCUUGUAGCUGCAAACUGACAUAAAAUUAACUUUAAUUGAAUCUAUAGCAAUUUGUAAUCGAACGUUAGUUGGGAAAAGGAACUUCAAUUGUAUGAAAUGCGAUUUCGAGCUCUUAGCAGUUCAUAAAAAUUUUAAAUAUUAAUCCAAUUUUCUAUGGUUCUUCAUUUUCUGAUUUUUUGAAUGAAAUGGAUGAAGAUAUUGGAAAAGAUUUAUUUCCUUUGUAGAAAAGAGGCUAGGGUUAACAUUGUAAUGAAGUCGUGAUUUAAAUUAGAACAAAAUUAAUAAAGUUGUAUCCUCAAUGUGAAUGUUGUACAUCGUAUGAAACGUAAAAUCGUAAUGUUUUUGCUUGUUUAGUUAACAUACGUUUGCGGUCAUAACGUCGAAUUUCGUUUAAAUUUAAUGAAUUGGCACUUAUUCACUUCAUCCUCGUUCAAUGUACAGUAUUGAAGUAUACGAGGUCCUAACCGUGGAUAGGAGCUUCAGUUAAUUCGUGUCGCGUUCCGAUGUCGAGCAAUUUAUCAAAUCAAGCCCCUUCCCAUAGUUUCAUAUUUCAUCAAUCUGUCGUGAGUUCAGUAAUAGCUGAAUCUUUUCACAUUUUUGUCGUUUCCUUAAUUAACAGGAUCAAAUUUCUUAACUUCCAAGGCUUCAAUUUGAUUGGCAGGAAAACUUCACGAACAUUUUAAACGGUAUUUAAUACCUAAAUUAAACAAAUUUUUCCCCUCUUAGAGUGUAAUCUUAUUUCUUAAAACACUAAAUAAUAAAACUUAAAACGAUAAAGGUUUUGCUAAUUCUGGUCUGUUAAGAAGCAAUUAAUGCUCUCCUCAAACCAUAAAUUUGGAACACUUAUAAAAAGUUCGUCUACUAAAUUUUUAAUAUAAAACGAUAACCUUCACAACGCAAGGCACUAUUUUUAAACUCGUGGCAUUUUAGUACCUUUUUAUGGCAUGAGGAUCUAAACACGAUCGCAAGUUGAACAGGAUUAAAUGAAACGAAUAAGUCUUUAAUAGAUUCAAAGAAAUUGCAUCUACUUGAAGUAUGCGAGAUAGGGUUCGGGAAGUUUUAACUAUCGGCAGUUAGAUGCCAAUGUUGCGAGAAGAAAUUGCACAUAAUAGGUUUAAGGAAAAUUGGGGCACUCAAACAGGGCUUGGUGUAUAGAUGGGAUAGGGGAGCACGUUAAGGAUAUGCUGGUCCCUGUAUACUUUCCGUCUAGGCUGUUUGGGACCGGCGGUCUAAGCGGAGAGUAUCGGUCCGCGGGGAACCAGUGCUUAACGUGAUAACGGAUUGGGUUAGCAUCGGUCAUGAGAAACGGGGAAUGUAGCGAGUGAACUACUCAUAAAAGGAGGCAAAUGGGUCUGAUAUUUUUGAUUAUUAAUCGGGUUUUCAAGGGGUCUGGGGAAGGUUUUAAACCUAUGAAAGUGUGAUUUGUUCAUGAAACAUUGGCACUGAAUAUUAAAAUAUGGUAGGUAGGCAAUUUUAUUUCUUAAAUCUUAAGUUGCGACAUUAGCAAACUUGCAGGUAGAAAUCUUGGAUCUUGCGGGUAGGAAUCUUGCUUCGAGUUUAUUAUAACUGUCUUUCGAAAACUGGCUUCCUAAUGAUGGUUUGAAGAGUCUUGAGGAUGAGAUUAAAAUUCUAACUUAUCUGUUCUUUUUAGUUUCUGUAUAAAUAGUUCCCUUAACUUGUACAUUUUAAUCUUGGUAGGCCUCCAAUUUAAUCCGGAAGCAGACAUUGUUUCAUAUAGUUUCAUAUUUACACUUUUGCAUUAACUGGCAACGUAGAUAAUAAAGAAUUUUUCAUCUGAACUGAAACUUUAUCUGCUUGAGCUGAAAAUAACUGUCAUUAACACAAUUUCUCACCUCUUCUAUAACACUUAAAAAAAUUAAGACUAAAUUUUGAUUUUCUUUGAAAUUUUAAUUGCGAGAUAGUGAAGUUCGGAAGUGAAACAACCGAGGCUUAAACUUAGAAUGACUUUGCGCAUGUCAAACUCGCCAAUUUCAUUCACCUAUCAACUUAUUUUAAGUAGCCAUGUUUGUAAGUUUGAGUUUACAUUAACAUUCGUUUCAUUCAAAUGCUAACUUUAGUUUAUGCCUAUCUAAUUUGUUGCGGUAUGUUCUAUAAUAUUUAGUUCAAAAAUGAAAUAAAAAUAAUUUUGUGCUAUGAAGACUUAAUUAAAUGAUUCUCGUUUAAAAACUUUCAUGUACUCGGAAAAACUUGCAUUACGUUUCUUGGUUUUUGGACAUUGUGUAUUAAUAUCCAUAAAUCAAGCGUUUCAGGGUUACGACUACGCGAAUGUUUUCAGUAGAUUUGAAUUUUGAAGUUCCUUUCCCAUUUUAAAGAUUAAUUGUAGUAAAGCAAGCUUAAAUUUUUCUGAAUUUUGAAUAUUCUCUACUUUAUAACAUUUUAAAUCUUUUAUGAACUGUGUCGCAAGUUUAAAUGUCUCAUCUGUGUUAAGAUUUUAUUGCAUUGUCAG